AGAGUUUGAUCCUGGCUCAGGAUGAACGCUGGCGGCGUGCCUAACACAUGCAAGUCGAACGGGGAUACUUUAGUAGUAAUACCGAGGUAUUCUAGUGGCGGACGGGUGAGUAACGCGUGAGCAACCUGCCUUUCAGAGGGGGACAACAGCUGGAAACGGCUGCUAAUACCGCAUAAUAUAUUUGGACGGCAUCGUUUGAAUAUCAAAGAUUUAUCGCUGAAAGAUGGGCUCGCGUCUGAUUAGCUAGUUGGUGGGGUAAGAGCCUACCAAGGCGACGAUCAGUAGCCGGACUGAGAGGUUUAUCCCCCACACUGGUACUGAGACACGGACCAGACUCCUACGGGAGGCAGCAGUGAGGAAUAUUGGUCAAUGGAGGCAACUCUGAACCAGCCACGUCGCGUGCAGGAUGACUGUCUUAUGGAUUGUAAACUGCUUUUUCGGUAGAGUAAUUAGCACUACGUGUAGUGUUUUGCAAGUAUACCGAGAAUAAGGAUCGGCUAACUCCGUGCCAGCAGCCGCGGUAAUACGGAGGAUCCGAGCGUUAUCCGGAUUUAUUGGGUUUAAAGGGUACGUAGGCGGGAUGAUAAGUCAGCGGUGAAAUUUUGCAGCUUAACUGUAAGCUUGCCGUUGAAACUAUUAUUCUUGAGUGUAGAUAAGGUAGGCGGAAUGUGGUGUGUAGCGGUGAAAUGCAUAGAUAUACCACAGAACACCGAUUGCGAAGGCAGCUUACUAAACUGUCACUGACGCUGAUGCACGAAAGCGUGGGUAUCAAACAGGAUUAGAUACCCUGGUAGUCCACGCUGUAAACGAUGAUUACUGGUUGUUUGCGAUACACUGCAAGUGACUGAGCGAAAGCAUUAAGUAAUCCACCUGGGGAGUACGUCGGCAACGAUGAAACUCAAAGGAAUUGACGGGGGCCCGCACAAGCGGAGGAACAUGUGGUUUAAUUCGAUGAUACGCGAGGAACCUUACCCGGGCUCGAACGGUGCAUGAAUAUACGAGAGAUUGUAUAGUCCUUCGGGACAUGUAUCGAGGUGCUGCAUGGUUGUCGUCAGCUCGUGCCGUAAGGUGUCGGCUUAAGUGCCAUAACGAGCGCAACCCUUGUCAUUAGUUGCCAUCAGGUCAAGCUGGGGACUUUAAUGAGACUGCCACCGUAAGGUGUGAGGAAGGGGGGGAUGACGUCAAAUCAGCACGGCCCUUAUGUCCGGGGCGACACACGUGUUACAAUGGGUGGUACAAAGGGCAGCUACAUGGCGACAUGAUGCUAAUCUCCAAAACCACUCUCAGUUCGGAUCGGAGUCUGCAACUCGACUUCGUGAAGCUGGAUUCGCUAGUAAUCGCGCAUCAGCCACGGCGCGGUGAAUACGUUCCCGGGCCUUGUACUCACCGCCCGUCA
Molecule: ribosomal RNA, 1396 nt
Filed under: uncultured bacterium
Lineage: Bacteria
Description: 16S ribosomal RNA
Rfam family: Bacterial small subunit ribosomal RNA
Source: RNAcentral